CCUACGGGGGGCUGCAGUGAGGAAUAUUGGGCAAUGCCCGCAAGGGUGACCCAGCAACGCCGCGUGGAGGAUGAAGGCCGUAAGGUUGUAAACUCCUGUUAGAGGAGAAGAAUAGUACCGAUUGGAUCGGUAUUUGACUGUACCCUCAGAGAAAGCCCCGGCUAACUACGUGCCAGCAGCCGCGGUAAUACGCAGGGGGCAAGCGUUGUCCGGAUUUACUGGGUGUAAAGGGGGCUAGGGCGGCAUAGGUGAAAACCUACAGCUUAACUGUAGAACUGCCUUUGAUACUGUUAUUAUUGAGUUCGGGAGAGAGAGACGGAAUUCCAGGUGUAGUGGUGAAAUACGAAGAUAUCUGGAAGAACACCAGUUGCGAAGGCGGUCUCUUGGUCCGAUACUGACGCUGAGGCGCGAAAGCGUGGGGAGCAAACAGGAUUAGAUACCCCUGUAGUC
Molecule: ribosomal RNA, 450 nt
Filed under: uncultured bacterium
Lineage: Bacteria
Description: partial 16S ribosomal RNA
Rfam family: Bacterial small subunit ribosomal RNA
Source: RNAcentral